This is a long non-coding RNA of Passer domesticus (house sparrow), 6755 nucleotides long. RefSeq lists it as uncharacterized. The record is from RefSeq and is a predicted model, not a curated record. The transcript is spliced from 3 exons. Lineage: Eukaryota; Metazoa; Chordata; Aves; Passeriformes; Passeridae.
GCUGGGCUGGCGGUGCUACUGACCCUGGGCUGUGGCACUGUUGGCUGGAGAGUUUUAGUCUAGAAAAGGCCUGAGCUGCAGAAUCUGGGACAGGAUUCAAUUCACAUCACGCGAAUUUGGGGUUGAAUGUGAUCAAAUAAGAGCAUUGCCAUCCUCUCACUGGCAGCAAAUCAAAUGAGUUCUUUGGGCUUUUUUCCUCCACAACAAAGAACAACAACAGGAACAAAUGCUGGGAGAGGAGAGAAAGACGUGACAUCAUCUGUGGAAAAGUUUUCCCUUUUUUUCUGCCUGAAGGACUGUUUUGAUUUCCAACUGCAUCUCAGUCUGUCAACAGCCAGCUUGGGAAAGAGACCAAGGACUAGAAAGCCAAAACCAGACUGUUAGAUCAAUCAUGGCCAAGAUGUGCUUCUCACUUAUAAAGGCUAAAAGAAAAGCAGCGAGGCAAGAAGUUUGUCCUUUGCAAUGUUGGAAGACUGCUGCCCCCCAUCCUGUGUCUGAUUCUCUGCGUGUCAGACUAUACACAAAUCUGCAAGAGAAGAUAUUGCUUGUGUGUUUAAAAUACUUCUGCCAUCAGACAGGGAGAAGACUGCUGUCUACAGCUGGAAUUUGCACAUUUAAGUUGCAAGUUACUACAGGCAGCAGUUGAUUUGAAGAUACCUUGCAAAUGCAAAAUCGACACCUUUUGCUGAGUGUUCAGCUUUGAAACCAGAGGAGGACCAAUGAGACAGAAAGGCUUUGCAAACAGAAAUGUCAUGACCUAUGGCUUGGGGAAAAGUUUUCAAAAAGAUGCCACUAAUUUCCGAUAUUGUCAGUUUCUGAGAGCGCUAAUUGUGGCUGGGAGAUACUGAAUUAAAAAAAAAAUUAAAAAAAGUUAAGAAGUCCAAAAGGAGAGUAUGUUUUGAAAAGACUAAUUUGUGGGAACUGAACAACCCAAUGAGUUGGGCAGCUUUGGGUGUUCUCUUCACAGAUUCCUGGAGAAUUCCGGCUAGCAUGAAGGAAACCAUUUAUUUCUAAGGAAUUUGGAAAUAAAAGAAAUUAAAAGUUUAGAGAAUAGUGAAGGUCUUCCCACUCAGGAGAGUGCAGCCAUAAAUGUUCAGGAAUAUGAAGCUCAUCUUAAAACUCCUUACAUAAUUCCAAGCCAGAAAGAAAACUAACUUCUGUAUUUUUAGUCUGACACCAUGUACAACUGCAUACUGUAUUUUUAUCUGGCAAGAAUGAGUCCGUCAAAUACAAAUGUAACAUGUACAAUGAUCCUUCAUUCUAGCUCUAACACAGAUGGUUAUCCCUAUAACAAAUAAAUAGCAAGGCUCAGAAUCGAGAAAGGAUAAGAAAAAUUAUAACCAAGAGAAAAAAAGGCCCAGUGCAGAUGAUCUUGUGAGACACUACUUGAUCCAACUCCCCUUAAGAUCUCAUAUCUCAAAAUCACAGUGGGAUAGCAGAGCCUAGGAGCACUUACUGGAGAAUACAAAUAUGGAUAACUGCAACUCCAAACUACCUGUUAAACACAGUCAUAUAGUAUUCUGUCAGGCAGGUUCAGGGCAGUUUGGAGCAUUUUGCUCUGCAAUAUACUCUCCAAUUUCCUCUGGAGCCCUCAAAGUCCAUCUCUUCCAGUUCUUUGAAAACCUAGGUGCUCUUGAGCAUAUUUUUUUAUAUUAUUUUUUAAUAUAAUUGUUCUUUAUGGUUAUGUUUGUGUUAGGAACAAAAGCAUGAAAAGAAGAACAGCUUCCCCACUUGUAUAAACUUGGACAUCUUACUAUUUGUUUUCCUUCUGCACUGAAACAUUUUUGUGAGUUAGUUUUAUGUUGGACCGCCAAUGUUGGCAAGCCUGUGCUGCUGGUGUAGCAUGGAGAAUACAGAGGUUAAAGUAUUAUUUUAAACUGUCACUGUUCCUUCAUGUGCUUCUAACUCUUCUUCCCUAUUUAUUCCAUGACUUCUUACUGCUCUCAUCACCAGAAUUAUUAGUGUUUAUCCCUACUAGUCCACGAAUGUUGUGAGAAAAAAAAAAGAGAUGAAGAUAUUAAAAUCUUUUUUUGAUUGUGUUGGGCAAAUCAGAUAAAUGUAAAGGAAUGCUUCAUGAGAAGUCCUGUAUUCUAAGCCAGGUCUGUAAGCUCACAGAUUCACCACAAUCCCUUCCUCGACUAUCAAAGUAUUUAAGGCAAAUCCAGAGACCUUGUCAGCUCCUAGAGAUUAUCACAGUGGGCUACAAGACAGGUGCAUAGUUAAAGAAUUUCUUGAGCUUCUGGACAAACCACUCCUGUCCUUUGUUGCCUACUUGUGGGGUGCCCAUACACAGGUACUUUUCAAAGGCUUGCCUGGAAACAUGGUGACAGAGAAAGGUAUUCAUCCGGGAAUGCUUAGAAUAACUCAACUGGAGUCAGGAUUAUUAAAUUCUCCUGCUGUCAGUGGCUUGCAAUGCAUUACUUGCACUUAUUUGAGUAAGCUGCUCUGUUGUGGCCUCUGUUUAUAUUCUGGUCUUCUGAAACUUUAAGAGUUUUAUUAUGCAAGUUUCAUAACAUUUAAAAGGUAAAUUAGUGAUAAAUAUGUCCACACUUAAUAACGUUGAAGUAAUAUCUUCACCAAGCUGCAAAGAUUGCAGGGAUAAUUCAAUCUAUAGAUUUACAAAUAAUUUAUUCAGUUUUUAUUUUAACUAGUUUUGCUGUAUGAAUGAAUUAAACAGCUGGCAGCUUGCCUGUCUGUUCAUUGCUCUGCUCCCUUCUCCCCCAUUUCUAAUGUUUUGCUCUUGCCCUAGCUGCAAAUGCAGCAUCCUUUUUAUUUCACAAACAUUCUCUCCAAACAAGUUAGACAAGGGAGAUGCUGGAGUGUGAGGUGAUGUUUCAGGGCAAUUCAAAGGCAUGUUUUCUUAUAUGAUUUACUAAGUGUUCUCAGAAAUAUUGUUUCAUUUCAUAACAUUUCCAGUUAGGGUUUUUGGGGGUUUGGUUUUUUGUUUUGUUUUGUUUUUUUGGCAAUCUUCUUCCCUAGUACAGUGAAGCAGAUUUCUGAAUGAGGCUGAUGAGAUUUGUAAUAUACCCCAAGUUAAUUUAGACAGCAGGUUAGCCCCUCAACAAAACUGUGGCCCAUAUACAAGUCAAAUCUGCUUUUUUCCUUGGGCAAUGAUUUAUUUCCCUCUUAAAUUGGCUGGACCAGUUAGUUUUUUAUUUUUAUUAAGUCACACUAUUCUUAAAUGAAACUAUUGAUUUAAAGUCAGCUUAGUGAGGAUUUAAUUUGUUUUCAGGGGAUUAGAGCAGGUAACAUGGGAUAAUUUUACAAUAAAGUGGAAUAGAAGCAUUCCUUCACAUUACCCUCACCUUUUUUUCUUGCCAGGCUGCACAGACAUUACAAAUUUUCAAGUGAAUUGUGGAAAUACAUUCAUAAAUCAGGCCUAAUUCCUCUGCCUGCUUAAAGGCUAUUCUAAAGAAUAUUUUCCUUUGACCUUGUCCAUGUUUGUCCUUCCAUGGGCUGGUACAUCUGAUAAUUCCACACAAACACAGAUUCACACAAAAUUUUUUUGUGUCCACAGUAGGAAUUGUAAACACGGACAUUUAUUGAGAAAUACAAGACCAGACACGUCUUUUAAUACAGAGGCUACAGAGUGUUUUAAAACACCACUCACUCUAUUGCUCACAAACAGGGAUAGCUAUUGUUGGUAUUCCUUGAUAGUACAUAUACUGGGUAUGUUGGGUUUUCUUUAUACAGUACAGUGAUUUUAAUCUCUGGUCCAUGUAACCUCAGGAAACCUCUUCCUUCUUUGUCAUUCUGUCUUUCAAUCAUAACUAACACAUGAUCUAACAAUUUCUGUGAUUUUACCUGGUGUUGUGCAGUCUGCUUUUGCAGCUUUGCUCUCAGUGACUUGCAUUGGGGCAGACUCUACAGCUCUGAGUAGCAUUACCCUAAGAUCAGACACUCCCCAUUUCUAUGCUUCUUUUUUGGUGGCCUUGAUUAUUUUCUUAGCAGUCCUCUGCUUCUGGCAACACAUCCUUGCUAGGAAAUAUUUCUAAGUUGUUCUACAUAGCAUGUUUCCCAUUGCUCAUAUGCAUAGACAAUGUUCUUCCCAUCUCUUUUUUUUCUUAACUUACAUGAAGCACAUACAUGCUCUACCAAGUUGUGAGAAGAAACAAAACAAGUCCUUAAUGCAGCAUUGAAUAUAAUUUUUUUACAUGGCCUCUGUCACUUGUGCUCUUACCAGGGGAUGGGAAGCUGAAAGCAGCAGAAGGAUAACCCUAUUGGCUGUAUAUCUUCCAUGCUUCUCUGUGGUCCCUGUCUCCCCAUCUCUGUCUUGUGAGGCAUGAGGACUAUUUCUCUCUGCUACUACUGAGUGAAGUGGGAAAAAAAGGCUCAGAUUUUGUUAUUAUGACUUUACUGAGUGAAAACUGCCCCACUGUUACUCAGGUCUUGGGAAUAGAGAUAUUUUUUUCCUCUCCCUGGAAAUCCCUAGAAUCCUGGUAGAAAUGCAGGAUGUAGGUGGACAGGUAAGAUGUAGGUGGACUUACCUCAGAUAUUUAUAAGGGCAAAAGAGAACAGAAAGGAGAAUUGGAAGAGCCAGCACAAAUACCUAGUUACAGAAGGGCAGCCAUCCUCCUUUCCCUGAGGCAAGACAGGCCCAGCAAGAACAGGAAACACCCACCCUGAUGAUGGCAUCGUGUGGUUUCCAGUCUCUGAGGGUUUUUUUUUUCAGAGUGGGAGAACUCCUCCUUUCCUCUCUUCUCCCUUUAUUUGUCUCACCAAGUCCUCCUGUGAAGAAAGGCUUCUUUUGCUGUAUUCCUCUUACAAUGACUGGUUUUUUAAGGUUAUUUUUCAGUCUCUGUUAACACAGUUGGCUUCUGAUUAGACUUUCUGUUGUAGGUGUUGCUGAUAAAAUUUCAGCAGGCACACAGACUCAGCUCUACAUAUACAUUAAACCAGAUGCAGCUCACUGGCUGGGUUUCACGGUUGUUGUUUUUGUUUUUUUUUUCUCCUUGCUAUAUAAAUGUGAGAUCAUAAGUAGUAGAGAAAGAAGAUGGAGGUAUUUCUUGGAAGACAGAGGAGAAAAAAGCAUGUACUCUCAAUUGCACUGCUUACAAGGACUGUGGUUUAUUAUUAUUUAUUAAUGGGGGGGAGAAGGAAAAAAAAAAGGUUUGCACACACCACACUCAACAAUUUUAUGAGAUCCACAUCUGGAAUCCAGAGCAUCUCAGGAAUCAAUCUAUCAGACCCUAGUCGAUUGUAAUAAUGCACCUGGGGUGAAAUUCUGGCUCCAUUAAAGUCAGCUGGAACUUUGCCAUUGCAAUGCAAAAAGUGAUGGCUGAUGUAGGCUACUCCACAUUAGCUCUCAGGCAGAGUGAGAUGGCUUAUAAGUCACCAAUAUUUCCAGAUUUGGCAUAACAUUUAGGGAAAAAAAACCACUGUCAAUCCCAUGUCUCUGUACAGAGAGAAAAAUUAAGAGUUAUAAUGAGGUCAUAGUGCCUGCACAUUUGGCUGUUACUAAAAUAAAUAAGUGUUCAUGAACUUUUUUUCAUAGGUAGAGGCUUUUAGGAUGAAACAGAAAUAUUGUUUAUUGUGCCUCAAGGUCAACACAUAUUUUUGUGUGUGUGUAUGUAAGCCAUCCAAAAUCCUGCUUAUAAAUAUCUAUUUUGUUGUGCUUUUUCCCAUCCUUCCACUGGAAAUGCAUUUCCAACUGUAAAUAGUAUAUUCCCAUUACCUACCCAUCAGUCAAAUCAGCUCAUUUCUGAAAUUCAAUUAAAAGGGUCUCAUUGCCAUAAAUCGAAAACGAUAUUUUAUUGUUACUUUGUAAUUUGGAAGAAUGAAAAUUAAAACAGUAGCUCUGAUGGAAAGAAAUGGCUACUAAAUCAUAAUGAUAUUUUGCAGUUUAUCUGCUCAUUGCUAUUUUAUUUCAGCUAUUUCAGAAUGGAAGGACGAUGAAGUUACUUGCACACCCUAUACCAGUUUUAUUUAUUUUUUUGGCUACUCCAAGCACUUGUCUAAAUCUUUUUUAUGAUUGUUUAUCUAAGUUUCUCCCAAAUGUUUCAUCAAUUGCUAUCCCUGUUCUUUUAUUCCAUAUGUUAACUGCUUCCUGUGUAUAAAAGACAGUUUGCUUAAAUUCCUUUGGCUCUUGACCUCUUCUUACCCUUGGCAGAGACACUCUGUAAUUUUGGGGAUUUUUUUUUUUUACAGUGAGCGUCAAUUGAAUUGUCUUAGUGUCAGAUAAAAUGAACAGAAAGGCCACAUAUGUGUCAUUUAACUUGUGAACUUGGCUACAGAUACAAUAGAUUCCAUGAAAUGGGUGCAAGGUGGGGGACAACCAGAGGUUGAAAUUGAAGUUCCCAUGCUCUGACUACCGAUGAAAAUUGAAAAGGAUAAGCAUGUUAAGAGGCAUUUAUAAUCAGCAACAGUGACUAGUAGUAAAUAAUGAAGAUGCUGCUGCUCUGAGGAGUAUGCGAUGCCAAACCUGUGAACCCUCUUUAAGAUUUAGCAGGAGUUUUACUGGCUGGGGGGGAAAAAAGAUCCAUUUCAGUUCUGUGUUGCUUCAGUAUAGAUAUUGCAAGGGGCCAAGCUCGUUGUGUCUCAUUCCCCUAUUCCAACCCCAUUCAAAAACCAUAAUGCUGAACAUUUUACUUCAUUUGGAGUGUUAUGCAUUCUGCCUAGAAACAUCUGUGGAAAAAGAAAAAGAAAAGAACCACUGGAAACAUGGAGCAGAAAUGAAUUUAGCAGCUGGCAAAGUGAAAAAUCACACAUACCAAGGAGAUUUUGUGUAAGGAGAAGAGAUGAGAGCAGGGCAAAUU